GAUGAACGCUCGCUGUGUGCCUAAUACAUGCAUGUUGAACGGGAUGUAGCAAUACAUUCAGUAGCGAAUGGGUGAGUAACACGUACCUAACCUACCUUUAAGACUGGGAUAACUAUUGGAAACAAUAGCUAAUACCGGAUAUAGUUAUUUAUCGCAUGAUGAGUAAUAGAAAGGAGCUUCACAGCUUCACUUAAAAAUGGGGGUGCGGAACAUUAGUUAGUUGGUAGGGUAAUGGCCUACCAAGACGAUGAUGUUUAGCCGGGCCGAGAGGCUGUACGGCCACACUGGGACUGAGAUACGGCCCAGACUCCUACGGGAGGCAGCAGUAAGGAAUUUUCCACAAUGAGCGAAAGCUUGAUGGAGCGACACAGCGUGCAGGAUGAAGUUCUUCGGAAUGUAAACUGCUGUUAUAAGGGAAGAAAAAAUAGAAUAGGAAAUGAUUUUACCUUGACGGUACCUUAUUAGAAAGCGACGGCAAACUAUGUGCCAGCAGCUGCGGUAAUACAUAGGUCGCAAGCGUUAUCCGGAAUUAUUGGGCGUAAAGCGCCCGUAGGUUUUUUGCUAAGUCUGGAGUUAAAUGCUGAAGCUCAACUUCAGUCCGCUUUGGAUACUGGCAAAAUAGAAUUAUAAAGAGGUUAGCGGAAUCCCUAGUGAAGCGGUGGAAUGCGUAGAUAUUAGGAAGAACACCAAUAGGCGAAGGCAGCUAACUGGUUAUAUAUUGACACUAAGGGACGAAAGCGUGGGGAGCAAACAGG
RNAcentral lists this ribosomal RNA (755 nucleotides) under uncultured Mycoplasma sp. RNAcentral's name for it is "bacterial SSU rRNA". It matches the Rfam family "Bacterial small subunit ribosomal RNA", at positions 28 to 776 of the family's 1533-position model. Lineage: Bacteria; Bacillati; Mycoplasmatota; Mollicutes; Mycoplasmatales; Mycoplasmataceae. The record is from RNAcentral.